RNAcentral lists this long non-coding RNA (248 nucleotides) under Elaeis guineensis (African oil palm). RNAcentral describes it as "long non-coding RNA (EGUI_LNC013498)". The record is from RNAcentral. Lineage: Eukaryota; Viridiplantae; Streptophyta; Magnoliopsida; Arecales; Arecaceae.
CCCGGAAGAGAGAGAUGCGAGGGUUGGUCGGCAGAAGCUGACACAACAGCGCGAAGCUGAUUAUUAAUCGGACAGAGUUCGGUGCCAGUUGCGCCAGACAGAGUCCGUAAUAAUCCAGCAGAUUCCGGACGAACUCCGGAAUCGGAAGCCGAAGACCCGCGCGAAGAUCUUCGACGUACAGCGCCAACUGGUCCGGCGGAGGGUUGUUAAUCCGAUCGCCGACCCCUGGGGCGGAAAGUUGAAACUGC